Molecule: long non-coding RNA, 1068 nt
Filed under: Homo sapiens (human)
Lineage: Eukaryota; Metazoa; Chordata; Mammalia; Primates; Hominidae
Description: HSALNT0118812
Source: RNAcentral
CCCGACUGAGCCUCCCAAAGUGCUGGGAUUAGAGGCUUGAGCCACCCUACUCGGCUCAAUACUGACAUUAUUCUCAUAAUGGUUAUAUUGCUUCAAUGUUAUUGGUUAUGAAACUAAAAUGAUUCAAGUGUGAAAUUUCUAAUUAUUCAAGUUUAAAUAAUGAAUACAUUAGGUAACGUUACAAGGUUAUUGCAGGAGGCAUUUAUUAACUAAACAAAUUUGUGUUUUCAACACAUGUGGGUGCUCUGCUCUCAUGAACGGAGAUGUAAGAAAGUUAAGUUAGGUCCACAUGAUAAACAUAUCAAAUGAAUUAAAAUAUUUCUGUGUAGAGUUUUCCCCUAGGUAUAGGAACAAUUUACUGUGGGCUAUAAUAACCCCAGGAUGUGUAGACAGAAGACACAUGGUGUCUGUGUAUACUAAACUCUAAUGAGGUUACAAACCACUUCUACUCUAUUCCAGAUCUAUUGAGGCUCCUACUUAUCUUGGUUGGUAUUUGACCCAGUGGACCUCAGAUGCAUGGAGAGUCAACAUUUGUCAUGUUUUUGGGCUCUACCUGGACCUGCCAACCCAGUUCCUGUGCGCCCCUCAGAAGAAUUCAGCCUGCAGGAGGACAGCUUUGACCCCUGUGAUUUCAUCUCUGCCCCAACCAAUCAGCAGCAAGCACCCAUUCCCUGGCAGUCCCACCCCUUCCCCCAAACUGCCUUUGAAAAACCCCUACCUAGGAGCCUUAGACAAUAUUGAUUUGAGUACUAACUCCAUCUUCCAUGUGGCAUGGCUGGCCUUAUGUCUAUUAAACUCUUUCUUUACUGCAAUACCCUGGUCUUUAUUUGUGCAGCAGGCAGGAAGAACCCCAUGGGUGGUUACAGCCUGACACUGCCUCUCCCUUUUAUGGUUGCAACAAAACAACCAACCAGCAUUUCUUCCUAAUAAGAAACCACUGACCAAGGAGUGGUUCUGGGUAGUCCAUGGAGGAUGUACAGUAAGGGUUUCUGUGACCUCUGUUUCACCUUUUGACAUUAGAGCACUGAAAAUCCCACCCUUGGAUCAUGCUAAUGCCACCAUUUUUGG